Molecule: ribosomal RNA, 376 nt
Filed under: Nematoda sp.
Lineage: Eukaryota; Metazoa; Nematoda
Description: bacterial SSU rRNA
Rfam family: Eukaryotic small subunit ribosomal RNA
Source: RNAcentral
CUGAAUUACUACGCUCAUCUCUUAGUUUUUAAACCGGCGAUGCGUUCUUGAGGCGGCUUCAUUAUCUUCUUUCGAUGGUUGCUUCUGUUACUACGAUGGGUGCGACGAGAAGCGGAGAAGUAGGGUUCGACUCCGGAGAGGGUCCCUGAGAAACGGCUACCACUUCGAAGGGAGGGAGGAGGCGCUACUACUACCCACUCUCGGAAAAAGGAGGUAGUGACGAAAAAUAACGAGAUAACCCGCUCUAGCGAGUUAUCAUCGGAAUGAGUACAAUCUAAAUCCUUUAACGAGGACCUAGCGGAGGGCAAGUCUGGUGCCAGCAGCCGCGGUAAUUCCAGCUCCGCCAGUGUAUAUCUAUGCUGCUGCGGUUAAAAAG